This 475-nucleotide ribosomal RNA is filed under the name Streptococcus sp. oral taxon C08. RNAcentral describes it as "bacterial SSU rRNA". It matches the Rfam family "Bacterial small subunit ribosomal RNA", at positions 28 to 483 of the family's 1533-position model. Lineage: Bacteria; Bacillati; Bacillota; Bacilli; Lactobacillales; Streptococcaceae. The record is from RNAcentral.
GACGAACGCAGGCGGCGUGCCUAAUACAUGCAAGUAGAACGCUGAAGCUUGGUGCUUGCACCGAGCGGAUGAGUUGCGAACGGGUGAGUAACGCGUAGGUAACCUGCCUGGUAGCGGGGGAUAACUAUUGGAAACGAUAGCUAAUACCGCAUAAGAGUAGAUGUUGCAUGACAUUUGCUUAAAAGGUGCAAUUGCAUCACUACCAGAUGGACCUGCGUUGUAUUAGCUAGUUGGUGAGGUAACGGCUCACCAAGGCGACGAUACAUAGCCGACCUGAGAGGGUGAUCGGCCACACUGGGACUGAGACACGGCCCAGACUCCUACGGGAGGCAGCAGUAGGGAAUCUUCGGCAAUGGACGGAAGUCUGACCGAGCAACGCCGCGUGAGUGAAGAAGGUUUUCGGAUCGUAAAGCUCUGUUGUAAGAGAAGAACGAGUGUGAGAGUGGAAAGUUUCAACAACUGUGACGGAUCUACC